RNAcentral lists this transfer RNA (85 nucleotides) under Alloyangia pacifica. RNAcentral describes it as "Yangia pacifica tRNA_Leu_TAA". It matches the Rfam family "tRNA". Rfam says of the family: Transfer RNA (tRNA) molecules are approximately 80 nucleotides in length. Their secondary structure includes four short double-helical elements and three loops (D, anti-codon, and T loops). Further hydrogen bonds mediate the characteristic L-shaped molecular structure. tRNAs have two regions of fundamental functional importance: the anti-codon, which is responsible for specific mRNA codon recognition, and the 3' end, to which the tRNAs corresponding amino acid is attached (by aminoacyl-tRNA synthetases). tRNAs cope with the degeneracy of the genetic code in two manners: having more than one tRNA (with a specific anti-codon) for a particular amino acid; and 'wobble' base-pairing, i.e. permitting non-standard base-pairing at the 3rd anti-codon position. The record is from RNAcentral. Lineage: Bacteria; Pseudomonadati; Pseudomonadota; Alphaproteobacteria; Rhodobacterales; Roseobacteraceae.
GCCCGCGUGGUGGAAUGGUAGACACAGGGGACUUAAAAUCCCUAGCCUUCACGGCGUGCCGGUUCGAGUCCGGCCGCGGGUACCA